Molecule: long non-coding RNA, 629 nt
Filed under: Chrysemys picta bellii (western painted turtle)
Lineage: Eukaryota; Metazoa; Chordata; Testudines; Emydidae
Description: lncRNA (ENSCPBG00000004728.1)
Source: RNAcentral
AGUAUUUCUCUUUUUUCUUUGAUUUACCUUCCUCUUCUCCCUCCCUAUUUUUACAGCCCUGGCCCACUGUGACCCUGACACUCCCCCCUCCAGUUGCUCUGGUUUCAUUAAAGAUUGGCUGCUGCUCCUGAUGUGGCUGUUGUCUCCUUGUCCUGCAUGCCAUGCAGCCAGCUCUGUGCAACCCUAAUAAUGACAACCUCAAUCCUAGUGAAAGAUGAAUAAUAAGAACUGCUGCCGUUGGUCCCAGAAGAGCCUGCUAAGGAGGUGCUGAUCUGGAGAAUCUAUACCAACUCUCUCUUGGCUGGAUAGGAACCAGAGUCCUUGCUCCCGUCUUUGGCAGUCCCUGAUCUUACCACAUUAUUGUCACAUUUGUUUGCUGAGAAAACCAGCUUUAAAGAACAGUAAAUAUGCAAAACAGCUUUCACUCUAUACAGCUACCAUCUUGAAUACUCCACUUCCCCCACCAUCAAACACAUCCUAUCAAUAGAGGCAUGAAGAGACUGCCCAUGUAGGAGAGGGAAUCCUGAGCAAAGUUCCAGUGACAACCUUUCCCUUGUCCUUCUAUGAAAGCAUUGCUAGGCUGUAACGCUUCCACAUUGCUGGGUGUCAAGCAAUUGCAAAGAUUCAUA